GUGUAAUAAUAAUGCGGCACGUGUAGGUUCAAUGGUGUUUGGAAGGCGACAUUUGGGACCAGCAGCGAAUCUGCUGUGCGUUGUUUGUGUCAGCAGGUAGACGACAUGCAGGGAGAAUCAUGGACCAGAUCACUUUCCACCACAACACUGUGCUGUCUGACGUUCACCUGCUGUUGCCAAACUCCAGCCACAUGAUGACACGACUCAACGGCGUAGGACAGCCAGUGUUCAUCUCCCGGUUCAAAAUCCUGUGGAGCAGAGAGGAAAGCUGUGACCUUGGAUCCCCAAACAGAGGGGAAGGGUUAGACUGUGACACCCAGGAGGAGAGCAGAAGCAGAGAUGAGACGAGGAGUGGGACUGAUGGAGGGGUAGAACCACCUCUGGAUGAAGACGGAGACCUUGAGGUCACACGGAGGCACAACCUCCCAGAAAGGUGCACUGACCGGGACAUGGUCCACCCGGUUAUCCUCAGCCAGGCAGGAGAAGUGGAGGAGGAGGAGGAGGAGGAGGUGGAGGAAUCUAGAGACCUCAUCAAGAUUGAACACACCAUGGCCACACCUUUAGAAGAUGUUGGUAAACAGGUCUGGCGUGGUGCAUUCUUAUUGGCUGAUUUAAUCUUGUCUCAACCAAACACGUUCAAGGGAGCCACCGUCUUGGAGUUGGGGGCAGGGACUGGACUGACCAGCGUCGUCAUGGCAAUGGUGGCCAAAAUGGUUUACUGCACAGAUGUUGGAGAGGACCUGCUUAGCAUGUGCCAGAAGAACGUGAUGUUAAACAAACACUUCCUGGAGCCCACAGGUGGAGAGGUGAAGGUACGUCAGCUGGACUGGCUGAAACAUGACUUCUGCAUAAAUGCUGAUGAAGAGUUUGGAUGGACAGAGGAUGAGGUAGCAGAUCUCUAUGACAACACUGCAUUUAUCAUUGCAGCUGAUGGUAAGGCAGAUGUCUCCAGGUGGGCUCGGGGUGUGACCAGGUGGGCUCGGGUUGUGACCAGGUGGGCUCGGGUUGUGACCAGGUGGGUUCGGGUUGUGACCAGGUGGGCUCGGGUUGUGACCAGGUGGGCUCGGGUUGUGACCAGUGUGCUACGAUGAUGAUUUGACAGAUGCACUGUUCCGAACUCUGUACAGAAUCUGCAACCAGCUCCAUCACCCCUGUACUGCAUAUCUGUCCAUAGAGAAGAGGCUGAACUUCACGGUGAGACAGAUGGAUGUGUCAUGUGAAGCCUACGACCAUUUCCGCCACUGUCUGUCUGAGCUGGAGGAGAUGAAGGAUGGCCGGACAAGCUUCACAGUAGAGCAGGUCUCCCCCAACUUCCCUCAGUGUCUGCAGUACGAACGUGUGGAGCUGCUGGAGUUGUGGAAAGUGACAGCUGCGCCCAUCUGAGCACUCUGAAUGGGCCUACUCUGCUUCCAGUUGUGCGUUGAUCCAAGACCUGUUCUAGGAUCUGGUUCUGUACAGGUCUCGUUCAUUCUGACCCCAAGCAUCUGCAUUCCUCCACCUCCAGGUUUUUCCUUCAAUGUCUCACCUGUCAACAGGUCCACGGGUCAGACAAGUCUGUUGGACAGACCUCUUUGUUUCCUUGAGACACAAAUGCAAAUUGCUAUAGUAAAUGUCUCUCAAAAGCUGUGGGCUAAAUUACAUAGAUGUAGAUAUAAGCUCAGCCAUGUGUUUAUAAACAGAGUUAUAGAUUCAUACUUACCAGCUGUCAGAUUGAUGUGUACAUUUGAAAUGAUUUCAAUGUUUUAAACAUCACUAAAUGUUCACUAAACGGUAUGAAUCCAGCAGUUUGUUUAUAUAUUUAUUUGUUAUAUGGGCUUAAUAUGAAUACGUUGUUUAUCACAAGACCUGUAAGUUGUUUGCUUGAUAGGAGUGAUUAAAACUACUGAAGUUA
RNA transcript from Esox lucius (northern pike), 1891 nucleotides. It is a transcript of the gene named methyltransferase like 22, with no coding region annotated. The transcript has 13 exons. The record is from RefSeq and is a predicted model, not a curated record. Lineage: Eukaryota; Metazoa; Chordata; Actinopteri; Esociformes; Esocidae.